CCGACCUUAGCUCAGUUGGUAGAGCGGAAGACUGUAGUUAUAGCUGUGAUCUUUAGGUCACUGGUUCGUUUCCGGCAGGUCGGA
This 84-nucleotide transfer RNA is filed under the name Brassica napus (rape). It matches the Rfam family "tRNA". Rfam says of the family: Transfer RNA (tRNA) molecules are approximately 80 nucleotides in length. Their secondary structure includes four short double-helical elements and three loops (D, anti-codon, and T loops). Lineage: Eukaryota; Viridiplantae; Streptophyta; Magnoliopsida; Brassicales; Brassicaceae. RNAcentral also lists the same sequence under 1 other name. The record is from Rfam by way of RNAcentral.